Molecule: long non-coding RNA, 903 nt
Organism: Cavia porcellus (domestic guinea pig)
Lineage: Eukaryota; Metazoa; Chordata; Mammalia; Rodentia; Caviidae
Exons: 2
Source: RefSeq, a predicted model, not a curated record
GCCUCCCAAGCCGCUGAGCCCCACCACUGGCCUCAAGCGAAGAUUACAUUCCACCUGGCCCAACCUGCGCGGGCCGCGCCCACGGACUGUCCCUCGCCUUGCGCCUGCACAUCCCACUCAGUCCCGCGCUGCCCCUGGCCUCGCCCUCGCAGUGGAUGCCUGUCUUGUGCACGGAGUCGCCAUUUUGCCGCUAGAGAAGCCCUCUGGAGACCUGAACGCUCUUUUUUCAGUGGCCUAGCCUGCGGCGGCCCUGGGGCUGAGGUCUGGGCCAGGUAGGCGGGCGGGAGCCGGCUGUGAGCGGCGGCGCGGCCCGGUGGCCCCGAGGUUAGCGGGCGCAGGUGCCUCGGCGGGGAGUCCUGCCUGCGGUUUCACGGGCCCAGGGCAGCGGGCAUGGCUCUGGGGGCGACCCGGCCUCAGCCCGCAAGGCCCCUCUCUCCCUUCCUCCCUUCUCUACUUCAGGAGUCCACACAGCCAGGCCUGGCGCGCGGCCUGGAGUCGUUGGCCCCCGCCAGGCGCUGCUGGGAACCCCGCUCUGAUGUGGGACCUGUGGGAGGUCGCUCAGGUCUCACAUGGCCUCUGCUGUCACUGAGCCUGGCUGUGCUGAGCCGGGGACAUUUACCCCCAAAAGGAUGAUUUCAUUCCACUCCGAGCUCCUCCCUGCAGAGACUGAAAGAGGACCAAGAUAUUACAGUAUUUGUCCAAUUAUCUUGGAAAAUUUGGAGUUCAGCAAGAUGUUGAUUCAUUUUCUGUGCAGACUGAGAGACAAGCCACACAACCUGUUGUUGGAUUUUGCUUUUAAGUCAUGUACCAUGUUCAUCUUUUUAUUCUGAUUGACUCUAUUCUGUUUUGUUUCAUUUGGCUUCAUUCUCUUUAAAAUAAAAUUAAAAAACAUUUUCUUGCUGA